Molecule: small nucleolar RNA, 106 nt
Organism: Gossypium raimondii (Peruvian cotton)
Lineage: Eukaryota; Viridiplantae; Streptophyta; Magnoliopsida; Malvales; Malvaceae
Rfam family: Plant small nucleolar RNA R71
About the family: R71 is a member of the C/D box family of snoRNAs containing the C (UGAUGA) and D (CUGA) box motifs. Multiple nearly identical copies of this snoRNA have been identified in Arabidopsis, and it is thought to function as a 2'-O-ribose methylation guide for 18S ribosomal RNA.
Source: Rfam
AUCUCAUGAUGAGGACACAUACGAAGUAAUUUCUUGAAUCUUUCCCACGCCUCAGAUAGAGACUAGUCAUCCAGUUGUUGGAAAGUAGUUAUCUUAUUAUGCAACU